UACAGAGGUCUCAAGCGUUGUUCGGAUUCAUUGGGCGUAAAGGGUGCGUAGGCGGCGGGGUAAGUCGGGUGUGAAAUCUUGGAGCUUAACUCCGAAACUGCAUUCGAUACUGCCGUGCUUGAGGACUGGAGAGGAGACUGGAAUUUACGGUGUAGCGGUGAAAUGCGUAGAGAUCAUGAGGAAGACCAGUGGCGAAGGCGGGUCUCUGGACAGUUCCUGACACUGAGGCACGAAGGCCAGGGGAGCAAACGGG
RNAcentral lists this ribosomal RNA (253 nucleotides) under uncultured bacterium. Its description in RNAcentral is "partial 16S ribosomal RNA". It matches the Rfam family "Bacterial small subunit ribosomal RNA", at positions 524 to 776 of the family's 1533-position model. The record is from RNAcentral.